Molecule: ribosomal RNA, 289 nt
Filed under: uncultured Polyangiaceae bacterium
Lineage: Bacteria; Pseudomonadati; Myxococcota; Polyangiales; Polyangiaceae
Description: partial 16S ribosomal RNA
Source: RNAcentral
CUACCCGGGUAUCUAAUCCUGUUUGCUCCCCACGCUUUCGCGUCUCAGCGUCAGUCACUGUCCAGAAGGCCGCCUUCGCCACCGGUGUUCCUCUCGAUAUCUACGAAUUUCACCUCUACACCGAGAAUUCCGCCUUCCUCUCCAGGACUCCAGCUCCGCAGUUUCGAGUGCACUUCCUAGGUUGAGCCCAGGGCUUUCACACCCGACUUGCGGAGCUGCCUACACGCGCUUUACGCCCAGUAAUUCCGAACAACGUUUGCACCCUCUGUCUUACCGCGGCUGCUGGCAC